CUUAGUUGUCUCUUCUUCUUUCUAUAUUUGCAAUCUCUCCCUAUCUAGAUAUUUCUUAUUUAUUGAUAAACAUAUUCAAGUGAUUUCUUUCUUUUCUUUUUAGAGAUGGGAUCUCGCUCUGUCCCCCAGGCUGGAGUGCAAUGGUGUGAUCACAGCUCACUGCAGCCUCAACCUCCUGCGCUCAAGUGACUCUCUCACUUCAGCCUCCCAAGUAGCUGAGACUGCAGGUGCGUGCCACCAUGCCUGGCUAACUUUUUGCAUUUCUAUUUUUGUAGAUAUGGGGUCUCACUUUGUUGCCCAAGUCAGUCUUAAACUCCUGGCCUCAAGUGACCCUCCGGCCUUGGCUUCCCAACAUGCUGGAAUUACAGGUAUGAGUCACUUCCCCCAGCCUGACUUCCCUCUUUUGAAAGCUCAUUUUUUUUUUCUUUCUUCCCCUAUAAGUUGUCAUUCCAUCUCCUUUUGUUUCUUUCAAAUAUAAAGUGUAGGGAGCUCAAACUCUCAGCUGCCUUCAAGUUCUAAACUCUGCGCAAUGUUUCUAUCUUGCUCCUAUCCCAUCUUCUUCCCCUGGGGCUUCACUGACACUAUUUUUACCAAGAUAAUGAAUGAAACCCCAAAUCUUCACUCCAAUGGCCUCUUUCCAAUCCUCAUCCUGCUCAAAUUUUGAUUUCAUUACCUUACUUUUCUGUCUUUCUUCCUUUUUUUUUUUUUGAGACAGAGUCUCUCUGUGUCGCCCAGGCUGGAGUGCAGUGAUGCGAUCUCAGCUCACUGCAACUUCCACCUCCUUGGUUCAAGCAAUUGUCGUGCCUCAGCUUCUCAAGUAGCUGGGAUUACAGGUACGCACCACAACGUCCAGCUAAUGUUUGUAUUUUUUGAAGAGAUGGGGUUUCACCUUGUUGGCCAGGCUGGUCUCGAACUCCUGGCCUCAAGCAAGCUGCCCACCUUGGCCUCCCAAAGUGCUGGGAUUACAGCUAUGAAUCACUGUUCCAGCCUUAACUUAACUUUCAAUCCUGCCUUUUCAGUACAUUUUAUCUUCAGUUAUGGCCAUUGACUUAGUUCAGAUAACAUGAAGCUAGAAUAUUAAUGCAGUCUAGGGCCCUCCUCUUUCUUUUCUUUUUUUUUUUUUUUUAAG
Molecule: long non-coding RNA, 1129 nt
Filed under: Macaca fascicularis (crab-eating macaque)
Lineage: Eukaryota; Metazoa; Chordata; Mammalia; Primates; Cercopithecidae
Description: lncRNA (ENSMFAG00000055843.1)
Source: RNAcentral